AGAGUUUGAUCCUGGCUCAGGAUGAACGCUAGCUACAGGCUUAACACAUGCAAGUCGAGGGGCAGCAUGGUCUUAGCUUGCUAAGGCUGAUGGCGACCGGCGCACGGGUGAGUAACACGUAUCCAACCUGCCGUCUACUCUUGGCCAGCCUUCUGAAAGGAAGAUUAAUCCAGGAUGGGAUCAUGAGUUCACAUGUCCGCAUGAUUAAAGGUAUUUUCCGGUAGACGAUGGGGAUGCGUUCCAUUAGAUAGUAGGCGGGGUAACGCCCACUAGUCAACGAUGGAUGGGGGUUCUGAGAGGAAGGUCCCCCANAUUGGAACUGAGACACGGUCCAAACUCCUACGGGAGCA
Molecule: ribosomal RNA, 350 nt
Filed under: uncultured bacterium
Lineage: Bacteria
Description: bacterial SSU rRNA
Rfam family: Bacterial small subunit ribosomal RNA
Source: RNAcentral